RNAcentral lists this ribosomal RNA (698 nucleotides) under uncultured bacterium. RNAcentral's name for it is "bacterial SSU rRNA". It matches the Rfam family "Bacterial small subunit ribosomal RNA", at positions 44 to 715 of the family's 1533-position model. The record is from RNAcentral.
AUGCUUAACACAUGCAAGUCGAACGAGAACGUUGCCUUCGGGCAGCUAGUAAAGUGGCGCACGGGUGAGUAACGCGUGGGUAAUCUGCCUUCGAGACUGGGACAACCCCGGGAAACUGGAGCUAAUACCAGAUAAGACCACGAGGUCCUCGGGCCAUGUGGGAAAAGGGUGGCCUCUCCUUGGAAGCUACCGCUCGGAGAUGAGCCCGCGUCGCAUUAGCUAGUUGGUGAGGUAACGGCUCACCAAGGCUACGGUGCGUAGCUGGUCUGAGAGGACGAUCAGCCACACUGGAACUGAGACACGGUCCAGACUCCUACGGGAGGCAGCAGUCGGGAAUAUUGGUCAAUGGGGGAAACCCUGAACCAGCAACUCCGCGUGAGGGAUGAAGGCCUUCGGGUCGUAAACCUCUGUCAGAAGGGAAGAAAAUGGCCGAGUCGAAUAGGCUCGGUUACUGACGGUACCUUCAAAGGAAGCACCGGCUAACUCCGUGCCAGCAGCCGCGGUAAUACGGAGGGUGCAAGCGUUGUUCGGAAUUAUUGGGCGUAAAGCGGGUGUAGGCGGCUUUGCAAGUCGGGUGUGAAAUCCCUGGGCUCAACCCAGGAACUGCAUUCGAUACUGCAUCGCUAGAGUCCCGGAGAGGAUGGCGGAAUUCCAGGUGUAGAGGUGAAAUUCGUAGAUAUCUGAAGGAACACCAGUGG